ACUCCUACGGGAGGCAGCAGUGGGGAAUCUUAGACAAUGGGCGCAAGCCUGAUCUAGCCAUGCCGCGUGAGUGAAGAAGGCCCUAGGGUCGUAAAACUCUUUCGCCAGGGAUGAUAAUGACAGUACCUGGUAAAGAAACCCCGGCUAACUCCGUGCCAGCAGCCGCGGUAAUACGGAGGGGUUAGCGUUGUUCGGAAUUACUGGGGCGUAAAGCGUACGUAGGCGGAUUAGUCAGUCAGAGGUGAAAUCCCAGGGCUCAACCCUGGAACUGCCUUUUGAUACUGCUAGUCUUGAGUUCGAGAGAGGUGAGUGGAAUUCCAAGUGUAGAGGUGAAAUUCGUAGAUAUUUGGAGGAACACCAGUGGCGAAGGCGGCUCACUGGCUCGAUACUGACGCUGAGGUACGAAAGUGUGGGGAGCAAACAGGAUUAGAUACCCUGGUAGGAUAGCG
Molecule: ribosomal RNA, 449 nt
Filed under: uncultured bacterium
Lineage: Bacteria
Description: bacterial SSU rRNA
Rfam family: Bacterial small subunit ribosomal RNA
Source: RNAcentral